GUGGAUUAGAUACCCCGGUAGUCCUGGCAGUAAACGGUGCACGCUUGGUGUGGGGGAAAUCGACCUCCCCCGUGCCGAAGCUAACGCGAUAAGCGUGCCGCCUGGGAAGUACGGUCGCAAGAUUAAAACUCAAAGAAAUUGACGGGGACCCGCACAAGCGGUGGAGUAUGUGGCUUAAUUCGAUGCAACGCGAAGAACCUUACCUGGGCUUGACAUGCAUCUCUAAGCGGGUGAAAGCCCGUGACUCCCGCAAGGGACAAUUUGCACAGGUGUUGCACGGCUGUCGUCAACU
This 292-nucleotide ribosomal RNA is filed under the name uncultured bacterium. Its description in RNAcentral is "partial 16S ribosomal RNA". It matches the Rfam family "Bacterial small subunit ribosomal RNA", at positions 773 to 1060 of the family's 1533-position model. The record is from RNAcentral.